RNAcentral lists this ribosomal RNA (1449 nucleotides) under uncultured organism. RNAcentral's name for it is "SSU rRNA". It matches the Rfam family "Bacterial small subunit ribosomal RNA". The record is from RNAcentral.
AGCUACAGGCUUAACACAUGCAAGUCGAGGGGCAGCAUUUCAGUUUGCUUGCAAACUGGAGAUGGCGACCGGCGCACGGGUGAGUAACACGUAUCCAACCUGCCGAUAACUCGGGGAUAGCCUUUCGAAAGAAAGAUUAAUACCCGAUGGCAUAAUUAGACCGCAUGGUCUUAUUAUUAAAGAAUUUCGGUUAUCGAUGGGGAUGCGUUCCAUUAGGCAGUUGGUGAGGUAACGGCUCACCAAACCUUCGAUGGAUAGGGGUUCUGAGAGGAAGGUCCCCCACAUUGGAACUGAGACACGGUCCAAACUCCUACGGGAGGCAGCAGUGAGGAAUAUUGGUCAAUGGACGAGAGUCUGAACCAGCCAAGUAGCGUGAAGGAUGACUGCCCUAUGGGUUGUAAACUUCUUUUAUAUGGGAAUAAAGUUUUCCACGUGUGGAAUUUUGUAUGUACCAUAUGAAUAAGGAUCGGCUAACUCCGUGCCAGCAGCCGCGGUAAUACGGAGGAUCCGAGCGUUAUCCGGAUUUAUUGGGUUUAAAGGGAGCGUAGGUGGACAGUUAAGUCAGUUGUGAAAGUUUGCGGCUCAACCGUAAAAUUGCAGUUGAUACUGGCUGUCUUGAGUACAGUAGAGGUGGGCGGAAUUCGUGGUGUAGCGGUGAAAUGCUUAGAUAUCACGAAGAACUCCGAUUGCGAAGGCAGCUCACUGGACUGCAACUGACACUGAUGCUCGAAAGUGUGGGUAUCAAACAGGAUUAGAUACCCUGGUAGUCCACACAGUAAACGAUGAAUACUCGCUGUUUGCGAUAUACAGUAAGCGGCCAAGCGAAAGCAUUAAGUAUUCCACCUGGGGAGUACGCCGGCAACGGUGAAACUCAAAGGAAUUGACGGGGGCCCGCACAAGCGGAGGAACAUGUGGUUUAAUUCGAUGAUACGCGAGGAACCUUACCCGGGCUUAAAUUGCAUUUGAAUAAUCUGGAAACAGGUUAGCCGCAAGGCAAAUGUGAAGGUGCUGCAUGGUUGUCGUCAGCUCGUGCCGUGAGGUGUCGGCUUAAGUGCCAUAACGAGCGCAACCCUUAUCUUUAGUUACUAACAGGUCAUGCUGAGGACUCUAGAGAGACUGCCGUCGUAAGAUGUGAGGAAGGUGGGGAUGACGUCAAAUCAGCACGGCCCUUACGUCCGGGGCUACACACGUGUUACAAUGGGGGGUACAGAAGGCAGCUACCUGGUGACAGGAUGCUAAUCCCAAAAGCCUCUCUCAGUUCGGAUCGAAGUCUGCAACCCGACUUCGUGAAGCUGGAUUCGCUAGUAAUCGCGCAUCAGCCAUGGCGCGGUGAAUACGUUCCCGGGCCUUGUACACACCGCCCGUCAAGCCAUGAAAGCCGGGGGUACCUGAAGUACGUAACCGCAAGGAGCGUCCUAGGGUAAAACUGGUAAUUGGGGCUAAGUCGUA